RNAcentral lists this ribosomal RNA (407 nucleotides) under Verrucomicrobiota bacterium. RNAcentral's name for it is "Verrucomicrobia bacterium partial 16S ribosomal RNA". It matches the Rfam family "Bacterial small subunit ribosomal RNA", at positions 355 to 776 of the family's 1533-position model. Lineage: Bacteria; Pseudomonadati; Verrucomicrobiota. The record is from RNAcentral.
UGGGGAAUAUUGGACAAUGGAGGGAACUCUGAUCCAGCAAUUCUGUGUGUGGGAAGAAGGUUUUAGGACUGUAAAACACUUUUAGUAGGGAAGAAAAAAAUGACGGUACCUACAGAAGAAGCAACGGCUAAAUACGUGCCAGCAGCCGCGGUAAUACGUAUGUUGCGAGCGUUAUCCGGAAUUAUUGGGCUUAAAGGGCAUCUAGGCGGUAAGACAAGUUGAAGGUGAAAACCUGUGGCUCAACCAUAGGCUUGCCUACAAAACUGUUGAACUAGAGUACUGGAAAGGUGGGUGGAACUACAAGAGUAGAGGUGAAAUUCGUAGAUAUGUGUAGGAAUGCCGAUGAUGAAGAUAACUCACUGGACAGAAACUGACGCUGAAGUGCGAAAGCUAGGGGAGCAAACAGG